GUGCUCGCUUCUGUAGCACAUAUACUAAAAUUGGGACAACACAAAGAAGACUAGCAUGGCUCCUGUGCAAGGAUGACAUGCAAAUUCAUGAAGUGUUCCACAUUAAA
RNAcentral lists this small nuclear RNA (107 nucleotides) under Procavia capensis (Cape rock hyrax). Lineage: Eukaryota; Metazoa; Chordata; Mammalia; Hyracoidea; Procaviidae. The record is from RNAcentral.